UACGUAGGGGGCAAGCGUUGUCCGGAUUUAUUGGGCGUAAAGAGCUCGUAGGCGGCUCGUCGCGUCGACCGUGAAAACCCGCGGCUUAACUGCGGGCUUGCGGUUGAUACGGGCGGGCUAGGGUUCGGUAGGGGAGACUGGGAUUCCUGGUGUAGCGGUGAAAUGCGCAGAUAUCAGGAGGAACACCGGUGGCGAAGGCGGGUCUCUGGGCCGAUACUGACGCUGAGGAGCGAAAGCGUGGGGAGCGAACAGG
RNAcentral lists this ribosomal RNA (253 nucleotides) under uncultured bacterium. Its description in RNAcentral is "partial 16S ribosomal RNA". It matches the Rfam family "Bacterial small subunit ribosomal RNA", at positions 524 to 776 of the family's 1533-position model. The record is from RNAcentral.